UACGACGGGGGCUAGCGUUGCUCGGAAUCACUGGGCGUAAAGCGCGCGUAGGCGGCUUUGUAAGUUAGAGGUGAAAGCCCGGAGCUCAACUCCGGAACUGCCUUUAAGACUGCAUCGCUUGAAUCCAGGAGAGGUGAGUGGAAUUCCGAGUGUAGAGGUGAAAUUCGUAGAUAUUCGGAAGAACACCAGUGGCGAAGGCGGCUCACUGGACUGGUAUUGACGCUGAGGCGCGAAAGCUAGGGGAGCAAACGGG
Molecule: ribosomal RNA, 253 nt
Filed under: uncultured bacterium
Lineage: Bacteria
Description: partial 16S ribosomal RNA
Rfam family: Bacterial small subunit ribosomal RNA
Source: RNAcentral